AACGAACGCUGGCGGCAUGCCUUACACAUGCAAGUCGAACGGCAGCACGGGGGCAACCCUGGUGGCGAGUGGCGAACGGGUGAGUAAAGCAUCGGAACGUGCCCUGAAGUGGGGGAUAACGUAGCGAAAGUUACGCUAAUACCGCAUAUUCUGUGAGCAGGAAAGCAGGGGAUCGCAAGACCUUGUGCUUUAGGAGCGGCCGAUGUCGGAUUAGCUAGUUGGUAGGGUAAAGGCCUACCAAGGCAACGAUCCGUAGCGGGUCUGAGAGGAUGAUCCGCCACACUGGGACUGAGACACGGCCCAGACUCCUACGGGAGGCAGCAGUGGGGAAUUUUGGACAAUGGGCGCAAGCCUGAUCCAGCCAUGCCGCGUAAGUGAAGAAGGCC
This 386-nucleotide ribosomal RNA is filed under the name uncultured bacterium. RNAcentral describes it as "bacterial SSU rRNA". It matches the Rfam family "Bacterial small subunit ribosomal RNA", at positions 29 to 416 of the family's 1533-position model. The record is from RNAcentral.